UACGGAGGAUACGAGCGUUAUCCGGAUUUAUUGGGUUUAAAGGGAGCGUAGGUGGAUUGUUAAGUCAGUUGUGAAAGUUUGCGGCUCAACCGUAAAAUUGCAGUUGAAACUGGCAGUCUUGAGUACAGUAGAGGUGGGCGGAAUUCGUGGUGUAGCGGUGAAAUGCAUAGAUAUCACGCAGAACUCCGAUUGCGAAGGCAGCAUACCGGCGCCCAACUGACGCUGAGGCUCGAAAGUGCGGGUAUCAAACAGG
Molecule: ribosomal RNA, 253 nt
Filed under: uncultured Bacteroides sp.
Lineage: Bacteria; Pseudomonadati; Bacteroidota; Bacteroidia; Bacteroidales; Bacteroidaceae
Description: partial 16S ribosomal RNA
Rfam family: Bacterial small subunit ribosomal RNA
Source: RNAcentral